GACGAACGCUGGCGGCAUGCCUAACACAUGCAAGUCGAACGAGACCUUCGGGUCUAUUGGCGCACGGGGGCGUAACGCGUGGGGAGCUGCCCUUGGGUUCGGUACAACUCCCUGUAAGAGAUCCUAAGGCCGGAGAAGGUCUUCGGACCAAAGAUUUAUCGCCUUGGGAUGGGCGCGCGUUGGUUUAGCUAGUUGGGAGAGGAAAAGCAUGCCAAGGCGACGAUGCAUAGCUGGUCUGAGAGGAUGCCCCGCCACACUGGGACGGAGACCCGGCCAAGACCGCUACGCGGAGCAGGAGUGGAGAGUAUUGGAGAAGGGGCGCAAGUCUGACCCAGCAAUGCCGCGUGAGUCGUGAAGGCCUUAGGGUUGUAAAGCUCUUUUAGCCGGGAUGAUAGUGACGGUAACGGGUGAAUAAGCUCCGGCUAACUCCGUG
Molecule: ribosomal RNA, 433 nt
Filed under: uncultured bacterium
Lineage: Bacteria
Description: partial 16S ribosomal RNA
Rfam family: Bacterial small subunit ribosomal RNA
Source: RNAcentral